Long non-coding RNA from Mirounga angustirostris (Northern elephant seal), 3178 nucleotides. RefSeq lists it as uncharacterized. The record is from RefSeq and is a predicted model, not a curated record. The transcript has 5 exons. Lineage: Eukaryota; Metazoa; Chordata; Mammalia; Carnivora; Phocidae.
CUCAUGCAAAGGUGCCGGGGCUCCCGCGAGGCUGCUUGGCGGAGGCGCCGGGCUCCACCGCGGCUGCGAUCCUGACACCGAAGCUAACUCGGAGUCCCAGGACGAGUCCGAGCCGCGGUUGGAAGAGCCGGCCCGGCUCUGCAGGGAGGCGGCGGGGUCGACUGCUCACUGUGAAGCUACCUCCAUGCGACCCUCCCCUUCCCGCCCCUUCCCCUCCCCCCACCAGCCCGAUCUGGGUUCUUGGGCGCUUAUUGUUUUAAUGAAAUUUUUGGUUGUUGUUGUUUUGGUUCUUGAAUGUGAUUUUAGCAGCGAAUAACGUGUCCUCACUCCUCUCGGGCUCCCUCGGAGGGUUUUCAGAGAGGUCUCAGUGCAUCCAUUUUCUCAGAUCCUCUCCUUCUUUCAGGGGAAGGAUCUGGGGGCCCUGCAGGCGCCUCGGCGCGCGAAAGCGGCGGCUCGGGUUCUCGGAGGGGUCUGCGCGGCGGCCGAGGGAGCUCCCGGGUGGCGGCGGCGGCGGCGGCGGCGGCGGUUCUCCUGGGCUGGACGCCGUGAGGGGGAGGAAGCGGAUUUUCCCAGCAAGAUCUCCAUGUACAGCUACAUCUUUAGGGCUGCUCGGGUUAAUAUAUGUCGUCAGAGGCUCCUCACGCCAAUCCCGGGGCGGCAGGGGCGGUGCCUCUCGCUCUCCGCAAUAAAACUUUUUGAUGUUCUCGUCGCUAAUUGUCGAAGUCCUCUUCCAGGAUUGGCUGCCCCUUCAUAACCAUGAGAUAAUUAAAACGGGGGGGGGGGAGGGUUAAAAAAAACUUUUUUUAUCAGCCAGAGGUUAAUGCAAGUGUUUAGCAGAUGCUUUACUAUUAAAUUAUUUUUCCCCCCAAGUCUCAAAUCUUGAAGAAUCUCAAACCAGGGACACCAGCCCCGGAGACGACCUUGGGCGAUUUCAAAGCGCAGGCACCUCGAUUCCCCGAAUUUGUGGUGUGGCCGGUAUCGGUGUUCCCCUGGUUUAACUAGCCUGUUUGAAGGUGCAGAUCAUUCUCGGGGAAGUACAACUGAAACCAGUCCUCCCCUGCCCUCUGGGGGUCUUCGUUUUCCCAGCCUACAUCUGCUCCUGACUCCAGAAAGACAGACUUCAGAUUGGCCAAGGCCCAGUUUAAAUGCCGCCUCCUCCAGGAAGCCUUUCCAGCCUCCUGGAGACCCAGCCCGAAGGUGAUGGGCCGGGUGGCGACGGAGGGCACCACUUGCCUCAGUGACCCGAGCCAAGCGCAACCGCGGCUCCGCGGGGAUCGCAAGGGCCUCAGGCCUCGCAGGACCCUGGGCAUGGGAGAGUGAGAUGCGGGCUUGUGGCGGCCGCCCAGGAAGGUUGGGGGGCAAGGGGCGCGGCCAGAGCCGCCACCCUGGAUUUUGGCCGCCGGCCCUCCGGCCACUGCGUUGGCUGCUGGGCCGCCUCCUCCACCCUGGUUAAGUUAUCCUUUUGAUCCCCAUUCCCCCCCUCUCGGUGCCCGCCACCAAGGAGGCCGGUUUCCCGCAGCUCAGGCCCCGGGGAAGUCAUCGCUCCGGGGCGGGUUGGACCCCCAGCAUCCCCGGCUGGUCUCUGACGGCUUUUCGCCCGAUGCGGGCAGGAAGGGGUUAACCGCGCCCUUCUCCCCCCCCCCCCCCCCCCCCCCCCCCCGCCAACCCGAUCCCGAGCCCUCGGCAGCGGGCGAAGGCCGCCGCUUCCCUCCUGAGGUCUCAUUAGGGAAACCCUCACCGCUAUUUUCAACAUUUCCUCAAUCAAGUGCCUUUAAAUAGAGCUGCACAAACAAAUUGGCGGCAAAAGCGUAGAUCUUGUCACGAUUGAGACCAAUCCAAUAUUUCAGCCUUGUUUGCUUUGCAAUUACGGGUUGGCUUGCGGCUGCGGUGCCACCGGGGCAAAUCUGCAGCCGCCCGCUUUCUCCUCUGCACCCUCGGCGGGUGGAGGAAGCGACCCGCAGAGCCACUGGAGGGAGGAAGCGGGGUGGCGCUGGAGGAGGUGACGCGAGGGAGAGGCGGGCGGCGGAGCCCUUCCUAAACCCGCGUGCAAAGGGCGCGAGCAAUGGUAAGGGAGACGGAUUUCUCAGGUUCCCGGCCGAGCCACUGAGAUACGUGCCGUAAUAAUAAAACGUGCAGUGCACAUGCCGACAACGAUGUUGUGUCCUUAUCCAGCUCCUUUUCUCCUCCCUUCCCUUUCCUCCCACUUCUAUCUCCAUUACAUUUUUCUUCAGUAUUUGUUAGCGGGUACUGGUUUCCCCUUCUUUCUCGCUGUUGAACUGCUAGCAUGAUUUGUUAUGUUUUCCAUAGCUGCUGCUUCUUGUUUGACUUUUUGUACAAAGUCGCUUUAAAUCGGCCGCAGGAAGACUAAAGCUCCAAGCCCUUUGGAUGGGCUCCUGCAGGCGUGUGCAGGGCCCCCUGCCCUCCCUGCCUUCUUGCGGGAUGGCUCUUCUGUGUACGUGGGCCGCUGGGUGCGUUCGGUCACCGCGCAGGCCAGCCUAGUUUGUAUCAGCGGAAUAGUAGUUAACUCAGAUCAGGUCCUAAGCCUUGUAUUUCACAGACAAUUAAGUCUCGGCUGCUGUUUAACAAAAUUGUAAUAUUUACUCUGCUCUGUACUGCGGAGCACUUUUAAAGUCAAAAACAAAUACAUUUCACAAAGAAAAUAUGAUAAUAAAUCUCUUUUUAUGGAUUUUCUCUGCAUAAGUGGAAACAACGUGAUUUAAAUCCCCACGCCCUGGCCCCCCUUCUGAGGCACAGCUGAGGUUAUACAGAUACUGUCUUUUAACUCACAUUCUUCACCGUCUGGGGGCAGGCACCUGCAUUUGUUACAUUCAGUUUAGUUUCUAAGAUUCCACAUAACCCGCAUUGGCAAACGCAGCAAGUAUUUUGGAAUAAUUAGGUCUGGGAUGUGAAUGCUAUUUUCACCAUGAUUCAAGAAAGGUGGACAUGACUUGGGUCAUUAUUUUAUGAUUUCAUAUUACCUUAUAAAUGUCUACCCAUUUUCCUCUCAUGUUGACUUCUGAAGGAGGUGGGAAAGUUGAGGCAGAGAAAUAUUUUUAUGAGACUCUGGGGAUACAUAUUAAAAUAUACUUCUUUAUUUUUUAAAAAUGUGUAAGGUGUGGAUGGACUUAACAUUUGUUUGCUGGUGGUCAUAAAAUAAAUUCAUAGGUGUUCUAGUCAA